AAGAAACCAACAGGGAUUGCCCUAGUAACGGCGAGUGAAGCGGCAACAGCUCAAAUUUGAAAGCUGGCUCUCGGGCCCGCAUUGUAAUUUGCAGAGGAUGCUUCUGGCGACGCGCCUUCCGAGUUCCCUGGAACGGGACGCCAUAGAGGGUGAGAGCCCCGUCCGGUCGUGCGCCUAGCCUCUGUGAAGCUCCUUCGACGAGUCGAGUAGUUUGGGAAUGCUGCUCAAAAUGGGAGGUAUACGUCUUCUAAAGCUAAAUACCGGCCAGAGACCGAUAGCGCACAAGUAGAGUGAUCGAAAGAUGAAAAGCACUUUGAAAAGAGAGUUAAAAAGUACGUGAAAUUGUUGAAAGGGAAGCGCUCAUGACCAGACUUGGGCUGGCCCGAUCAUCCGGCGUUCUCGCCGGUGCACUCGGGCCGCCCAGGCCAGCAUCAGCUUUCGCCGGGGGAUAAAGGCGGCGGGAAUGUGGCUCCCUCGGGAGUGUUAUAGCCCGCCGUGCAAUACCCUGGUGGGGGCUGAGGUUCGCGCGUAUGCACGGAUGCUGGCGUAAUGGUUAUCAGCGACCCG
Molecule: ribosomal RNA, 567 nt
Filed under: Trichothecium roseum
Lineage: Eukaryota; Fungi; Ascomycota; Sordariomycetes; Hypocreales
Description: partial large subunit ribosomal RNA
Rfam family: Eukaryotic large subunit ribosomal RNA
Source: RNAcentral